CACGUAGGGCGCAAGCGUUGUCCGGAAUUAUUGGGCGUAAAGAGCUCGUAGGCGGUCUGUUGCGUCCGCUGUGAAAACCCGGGGCUUAACCCUGGGCUGGCAGUGGAUACGGACAGACUAGAGGUAGGUAGGGGAGAAUGGAAUUCCCGGUGUAGCGGUGAAAUGUGUAGAGAUCGGGAGGAACACCGGUGGCGAAGGCGGGUCUCUGGGCAUCUCCUGACGCUAGGCGCGAAAGCGUGGGGAGCAAACGGG
This 252-nucleotide ribosomal RNA is filed under the name uncultured bacterium. Its description in RNAcentral is "partial 16S ribosomal RNA". It matches the Rfam family "Bacterial small subunit ribosomal RNA", at positions 524 to 776 of the family's 1533-position model. The record is from RNAcentral.